RNAcentral lists this ribosomal RNA (522 nucleotides) under uncultured bacterium. RNAcentral's name for it is "bacterial SSU rRNA". It matches the Rfam family "Bacterial small subunit ribosomal RNA", at positions 33 to 518 of the family's 1533-position model. The record is from RNAcentral.
ACGACGCUGGCGGCGUGCCUAAUACGAUGCAAGUCGAACGGUCUUUCUAUGGAAGCUUGCUUCCACUGAGAAGAGUAGUGGCGAACGGGUGAGUAACACGUGGGUAACCUGCCCAUAAGAGGGGGGAUAACAUCCGGAAACGGGUGCUAAUACCGCAUAGUUUUCUUGAUUGCAUGAUUGGAGAAAGGAAAGACGGCCUUUGUGCUGUCGCUUAUGGAUGGACCCGCGGCGUAUUAGUUAGUUGGUGAGGUAACGGCUCACCAAGACGAUGAUACGUAGCCGACCUGAGAGGGUGAUCGGCCACAUUGGGACUGAGACACGGCCCAAACUCCUACGGGGAGGCAACAGUAGGGAAUCUUCCGCAAUGGACGAAAGUCUGACGGAGCAACGCCGCGUGAGUGAAGAAGGUUUUCGGGAAGUCGUAAAACUCUGUUGUCAGAGAAGAACAAGUUGGAGAGUAACUGCUCCAGCCUUGACGGUAUCUGACCAGAAAGCCACGGCUAACUACGUGCCAGCAGCAGC